CGCGGGGUAGAGCAGCUUGGUAGCUCGCAAGGCUCAUAACCUUGAGGUCACGGCCUGUCUCCGCAA
Molecule: transfer RNA, 66 nt
Filed under: Sonerila obliqua
Lineage: Eukaryota; Viridiplantae; Streptophyta; Magnoliopsida; Myrtales; Melastomataceae
Description: tRNA-fMet
Source: RNAcentral